AAAGCUUGCUGGUGUGUGUGAGUGUGUGAGCCAGCCAAACACUUUGGGAGUGGCUCAGGAUAAAAUCCAGCCCAGGAGCCCUGCAGAGACUUGUCUGUGAAGGUGGAAAGAAAAUAAAAAACGAAGUAGACGGAACAAAGAUAAUUACUUGACAUCUUUGUGGCACAGGUGAACAUCAGGGACGACCAUUCACUUUUACAGGAUCUUCUCAAGGAUCAUUAUUACUCUUUUAGUCUUUUGUGCAAAGCCAGAACUUUCCCCUGAGUUUCACCUGGACUUCAGUUAGUAUGGAAUGGAUUCAUUAACAAUGGAAACAAGCGAUUCAGGAGGAAGUUCAGGAGAAAGAGUUAUAACUGAAUCAUUUUCGACCAGCAGACUCACAUCUUUACCACCAAGUAAGACUUUCUGCUCUUCACCGUCUCCCAGAAACAGCUUCUUAUAUUCUUUCUCUUUUUAAAAAUG
Pygocentrus nattereri (red-bellied piranha) is the source of this 462-nucleotide long non-coding RNA. Lineage: Eukaryota; Metazoa; Chordata; Actinopteri; Characiformes; Serrasalmidae. The record is from Ensembl.